RNAcentral lists this microRNA (21 nucleotides) under Python bivittatus (Burmese python). RNAcentral describes it as "pbv-miR-10b-2-3p". Its record names the gene pbv-miR-10b-2-3p. Lineage: Eukaryota; Metazoa; Chordata; Lepidosauria; Squamata; Pythonidae. The record is from miRBase by way of RNAcentral.
AAAUUCGUCUCUAGGGGGAUA